AGAACAAUCAGUGCAGAGAUCAGUAGUGUCUAGGUAGAGAAACCUCAUCAAGAAGAACAGAAGGAAAACCUCAAUCUAAAUUUGGGUCCUUAUCCAAGCUAAGAACCCAAAAGAAAAGGAAAAUGCCCCUGGAUCGUCUGUAUAUAAAAGGGGAAAAAAAUAACAUAUUUAUAUAUUUAUUUGGGCGAUGAAGCAUAACCCAAAUGAAAAACCUCAAUGGAAGAGGACCCAAAAAAGAAAAAAAAAUGCAGCAGAAGCAGAGUAUUACUGUAGUUACUGGUUCCUGUUUAAGGGAGGACUCAUAAUCUUUCAAUCUCAAGCCCUUCAGGGCUCUCCAAGAUGCUCUCCAAAGAUGGUUUCCAAGCUUUAACUUUCCCUCUUUCUCUCUCUCUCUCAAUCUCUAGGAGAACAUCUUCUAGCUUCUUCCCUUCAUUUUAACCUUCAGCUGAAACAUCAACCACUGAAGCUCCUCCUUCGUAAGCACUAUCUUAACCUUAAGGCCACUCCUGUCAUCAAAAUCACCGCUUUCCUUCCCAAAAUCAGCCUUCGGUUCUUUCUUUUGAUAAUCUUGAUUAUCAUACUGCUCAAUAUCUUCCUCAUCUUUCCUUUGUCUAGCUGAUGGCUUUAAGCAAUUUCCCAUGAUCUUGAGGAGUUAGAUAAAAAAAGGAACACUUCCUUAGUGGAUUACUAGUCCCAAAAUGGUAUU
This 706-nucleotide unclassified non-coding RNA is filed under the name Hevea brasiliensis (rubber tree). The record is from RNAcentral. Lineage: Eukaryota; Viridiplantae; Streptophyta; Magnoliopsida; Malpighiales; Euphorbiaceae.